UGCUGAAGUCGGUUUGCUGGUUGGGGGUACUCUCUUCCGCUUCUUAGCUGGCUUGGGAGCAGGUGUUUCUUCUUCCUCAUCUUCAGUCUCAGCUCUAAGACCCUCUUCGAUCUCUGCCUCCAAUGUCGCUCUGUCAGCUGGCGACUUUUCUCUUUGCUGUGGAGCUUUGCGCCGGGAAACCUGAGCUGGUGGGUUUGGCGUUGGUUGGCUUGCUCGUGGUGGGUUGGUUCUUGUCCCGGCUCGAGACGAAGUGCCUACAUCCCCAAUGCGAUCCGUUCCGGGACCGCGAUCUUUCCCCAUGUCCUGCUAUCAACAAGCUCGAAAUUGUAUAAGUGACAUGAUCAAUAAGAAACAAAUUAAAGCUUGGAAAGAGUUAAUGAGUUCAAAAACAGAAAAUGGCAUUCAUACUCAUCUUCUAUGACUCAAUAAACUCAAUUUUAACAUCAAACAAUCACUCCCAUUUCAAUUUUCGAAAACCCCCAAUAUGAACCCUAACUUUUCAAAUUCGAAUUCAGGUCAAUUAAACACGUUUUUCAUCUACCCAACUCAUCAAUAAAGUAUAAAAGGACAUAAUUAACGAGUAUUGAACAAGAAAUCAACCAUGCAACCACUUUAAAAAAUAAUGGAAAAUUUUGAAUCCGAAAAUAAGAUGACGAUUUCUCUAUACCUUAGCUUGUUUCAGAUAAACAAGAGUAGGGAAAUAAAAAGUCGAAGUGAAAUCACGGAGAUAGCAACUUGAAUCAACGAAUUUGGUGAAGAAUUGAGAGACUUAUGAGUUCUUAUGCUUGAGAGAAUGAAAGUAUGGAGUUUUUG
This 813-nucleotide long non-coding RNA is filed under the name Brassica napus (rape). RNAcentral describes it as "long non-coding RNA (BNAP_LNC020583)". The record is from RNAcentral. Lineage: Eukaryota; Viridiplantae; Streptophyta; Magnoliopsida; Brassicales; Brassicaceae.